UUGAAUUCAUUCAACUUUGAUCAAAUUCAUUGGAUCUUGUGGUUUGAGAAUCCUUAAGGAUCAUCACCUAGAAAGAUGAAUGAAUUUGAUCAAGGAUGAGUUAUCCCUUGAUCAAUUGGGAUUGGUUGUUGACUUUCUUGUGGUUUGAGAAUCCUUAAGGAUCAUCACCUAGAAAGAUGAAUGAAUUUGAUCAAGGAUGAGUUAUCCCUUGAUCAAUUGGGAUUGGUUGUUGACUUCUUACCCCCUCCCUUUC
RNAcentral lists this long non-coding RNA (253 nucleotides) under Lathyrus oleraceus (garden pea). RNAcentral's name for it is "Pisum sativum (pea) long non-coding RNA (PSAT_LNC007371)". Lineage: Eukaryota; Viridiplantae; Streptophyta; Magnoliopsida; Fabales; Fabaceae. The record is from RNAcentral.